GACGAACGCUGGCGGCGUGCUUAACACAUGCAAGUCGAACGGAAAGGCCCCUUUGGGGGUACUCGAGUGGCGAACGGGUGAGUAACACGUGAGUAACCUGCCCUUGACUUCGGGAUAACUUCAGGAAACUGGGGCUAAUACCGGAUAGGAAUCCUUGCUGCAUGGUGGGGGUUGGAAAGCUUCGGCGGUUUUGGAUGGACUCGCGGCUUAUCAGCUUGUUGGUGGGGUAGUGGCUUACCACGGCUUUGACGGGUAGCCGGCCUGAGAGGGCGACCGGCCACAUUGGGACUGGGAUACGGCCCAGACUCCUACGGGAGGCAGCAGUGGGGAAUAUUGCACAAUGGGCGGAAGCCUGAUGCAGCAACGCCGCGUGCGGGAUGACGGCCUUCGGGUUGUAAACCGCUUUCAGCAGGGGCGAAGCUUGUGGUGACGGUACCUGCAGAAGAAGCACCGGCUAACUACGUG
This 465-nucleotide ribosomal RNA is filed under the name uncultured bacterium. RNAcentral's name for it is "partial 16S ribosomal RNA". It matches the Rfam family "Bacterial small subunit ribosomal RNA", at positions 28 to 507 of the family's 1533-position model. The record is from RNAcentral.